CUGGACUUACAUAAAGUUGUGCUCGGACUAUCAAUUUGAUUAUUAAAGUUCUGGUUUUAAAGUUUGGU
This 68-nucleotide transfer RNA is filed under the name Anadara broughtonii. RNAcentral describes it as "Scapharca broughtonii tRNA-Asp". Lineage: Eukaryota; Metazoa; Mollusca; Bivalvia; Arcoida; Arcidae. RNAcentral also lists the same sequence under 1 other name. The record is from RNAcentral.